AGGUGUAUAGCUCAAUCGGCAAGAGUGGCGGUCUCCAAAACCGUUGGUUGAGGGUUCGAGUCCUUCUGCACCUG
RNAcentral lists this transfer RNA (74 nucleotides) under Saprospiraceae bacterium. RNAcentral's name for it is "tRNA-Trp". It matches the Rfam family "tRNA". Rfam says of the family: Transfer RNA (tRNA) molecules are approximately 80 nucleotides in length. Their secondary structure includes four short double-helical elements and three loops (D, anti-codon, and T loops). Lineage: Bacteria; Pseudomonadati; Bacteroidota; Saprospiria; Saprospirales; Saprospiraceae. The record is from RNAcentral.